UCCAUACACGUUAAACUCUUUAGCUUCCCAGUCUCCGCGUCUCCCUUUCUUUAUUAUCAACAACUGAAGCGUUUGCUAACAAGAAACAAACACUAUCCCUAUAAAUAGGUGAGGGUUGAGCCUCAAAUCCAGCAUCUCAUACACGCUAUCUGAGUUUCUCUUCCGACGAAUCCUAAAUCACUCCUUCGAAACUUGUUGCUUCAUAUGCAAUUUCCGGACAGCCUACUGCUCACCAUGCUACCAUUGAUGAUCUCGCCUUCUCUCAGGUUAUUGCUGGCCUUCAUCAACUAGCAACGCCUUGUGAGUGAAUUCAUCGUUAGAGAUCUCCCGUAAUCUUCAUACCCUUUAACACAACAGCAGCAGAUGAGGUAGCAGAGGAGAUCUGGCGGCUGAACAAUGUCCCGGUGCUCGCGAUCCCACCGGAAUUGCAAACCUGAGAGUUGUUGGAGAUGGAGAAGAUAAGUGUCACUAACCUCUUGCUUCGUAACGCCAUAGCUCUCUAGGAUUGUUGUUUCGUACUCUUCUCACCUUCUCGAGAUUAUGAAUUAAUGAAAUUGCAAGGAAUAGAUGCGUCUGCGGAAAUCUUUAAUGAAUUGGCCCCAUGAAUAGGAAUCUCCGCCUUGGUUGAGAGCUCAUGGGAGUGGAUAAGCUCCUUCUCGGUUCUCACUUCUCAGGGAGCUGGUGGACCAGAGGAGGAAGAUAAUUGAUGGCCACCAUGCCUGAAACCUCCGCUUAAAGAGCAGUUCUUUGUUCACUGCAAGUUUCAUGUAGACUCUCACAAGGGUGACUGCAAUAUGUAUUACUUAGACUGCACCAACGGUGAGCUUUGCUCUCUUUGUCUUGCCCAUCCCAAAGCUCACCUCACCAUCCAAUCCAAAGGUCGAUCUUUAGGUCUAUAUAUCAAUAGCCUGGCACAAUGCUUGGAUCCAUAGCUAUUCCAUGCAGAGAGAAAGAGAGAGAGAGAGAGUUCCUGCAGGAACAAAAAGCAAUGGGCUUGAGAAAAGAGCAGCAGCUGAUGUGGCUUCAGCCUUGGAAUCUUACGAAGCAGAGAAUGGAGAAGGCUACAGUGAUCAUUACCUCAUGAAGAGCACAAUCAUGAGCGGUUGUAAAUGCAUCGAUGUCCAAUCUAAAACAGCCAAAUAAAAGCAUAUGGUCUUGAAAGGAACAUGAAAAUGUAGCUUACUUAUUGUUCUUAUGUACAUUUUGUUUUCAAGGCACCAUUGCUCAGCAGACGAAAACAAUCGUUAACAGAGUUUAUUGAUAAGAAUUAUAAGACUCUAUCUACUUAA
Long non-coding RNA from Brassica rapa (field mustard), 1289 nucleotides. RefSeq lists it as uncharacterized. The record is from RefSeq and is a predicted model, not a curated record. NCBI's taxonomy places the organism in Eukaryota, Viridiplantae, Streptophyta, Magnoliopsida, Brassicales, Brassicaceae.